CUCCCGACAUCACCCCCACCACAUCCUCAAUGCCUCUCUGAACAACAUAUAGGAAGAGCGCGGGAGGAGGAGGAGGAGGAGGAGGAGACCCAGGGAGGCAAAGAGAAAGAAGAAGAUGAGGAUUAUUUGCAGACAGCUUGUCUUGUUGUUUUCUGGAUUUUGGGGACUUGCAAUGGGCGCUUUUCCUAGCAGCGUGCAAAUAGGUGGUCUCUUCAUCAGAAACACAGAUCAGGAAUAUACUGCUUUUCGAUUAGCAAUUUUUCUUCACAACACCAGCCCCAAUGCAUCUGAAGCACCUUUUAAUUUGGUUCCUCAUGUUGACAACAUCGAAACAGCAAAUAGCUUCGCUGUAACAAAUGCCUUCUGCUCCCAGUACUCACGAGGAGUUUUUGCUAUUUUUGGACUGUACGAUAAAAGAUCAGUACACACCUUGACCUCAUUCUGCAGCGCCUUGCACAUCUCCCUCAUCACACCCAGUUUCCCCACAGAGGGUGAAAGCCAGUUUGUGCUGCAACUGAGGCCUUCCUUACAAGGAGCGUUGCUAAGUUUGCUGGGUCAUUAUAAAUGGAAUCGCUUUGUCUUCCUUUAUGACACGGAUAGGGGUUACUCAAUACUUCAAGCUAUUAUGGAAACAGCAGGAGAAAAAAGCUGGCAAGUUAGUGCCAUAUGUGUGGAGAAUUUUAACGAUGCAAGCUACAGGCAGCUUUUAGAAGAUUUGGACCGAAGACAAGAAAAGAAAUUUGUAAUAGAUUGUGAAAUAGAGAGACUUCAGAAUCUAUUAGAACAGAUUGUGAGUGUUGGAAAACAUGUUAAAGGCUAUCAUUACAUUCUUGCAAAUCUGGGAUUCAAAGAUAUUUCCCUGGAGAGAUUUAUGCACGGAGGAGCCAACAUCACAGGGUUUCAGUUAGUGGACUUCAAUACACCUAUGGUUUCUAAACUCACGCAACGGUGGAAGAAACUGGACCAGAGAGAAUACCCAGGAUCAGAAACUCCUCCUAAGUAUACCUCUGCUCUGACUUAUGAUGGAGUACUUGUGAUGGCUGAGACUUUCCGAAAUCUUCGAAAGCAGAAAAUAGAUAUUUCUCGAAGAGGAAAUGCUGGAGAUUGUCUUGCAAAUCCAGCUGCACCAUGGAGCCAAGGACUUGACAUGGAGAGAACACUAAAACAGGUUCGAAUACAGGGACUGACUGGAAAUGUUCAAUUUGACCACUACGGUCGCAGAGUCAACUAUUCGAUGGAUGUAUUUGAACUGAAGAGCACUGGUCCUCGAAAGAUUGGAUACUGGAAUGACAUGGAUAAAUUAGUCUUGAUCCAACAUGAGCCUACAAUGGGCAAUGACACAGCUGCCCUUGAGAACAGAACAGUAAUUGUAACUACAAUUAUGGAAGCCCCCUAUGUUAUGUGGAAAAAAAACAGAGAAUUGUUUGAAGGGAAUGAGAAGUAUGAAGGUUACUGUGUAGACCUGGCAUCAGAAAUUGCAAAGCAUAUUGGCAUCAAAUAUAAAAUUGCUAUUGUCCCUGAUGGAAAAUACGGAGCAAGGGAUCCACAGACAAAAAUCUGGAACGGGAUGGUGGGAGAGCUUGUAUAUGGGAAAGCAGAAAUUGCAGUUGCACCUCUGACCAUCACUCUGGUGCGUGAGGAGGUUAUCGAUUUUUCUAAGCCCUUUAUGAGUCUUGGCAUAUCCAUUAUGAUCAAAAAGCCUCAGAAAUCUAAACCAGGAGUCUUUUCAUUCCUGGACCCCUUGGCCUAUGAAAUUUGGAUGUGCAUAGUCUUUGCCUACAUUGGGGUCAGUGUUGUCCUAUUCCUGGUGAGCAGGUUUAGUCCAUAUGAAUGGCAUACAGAAGAGCCAGAGGAUGGUAGAGAAGGACCCAGUGAUCAACCUCCGAAUGAAUUUGGCAUCUUCAACAGUCUUUGGUUUUCCCUGGGUGCCUUUAUGCAGCAAGGAUGUGAUAUUUCACCCAGGUCCCUCUCAGGUCGCAUAGUUGGAGGUGUGUGGUGGUUCUUCACGCUGAUCAUAAUUUCAUCAUAUACCGCUAACCUUGCUGCUUUCUUGACUGUUGAGCGAAUGGUCUCACCCAUAGAAAGUGCAGAAGACCUCGCAAAACAAACAGAAAUUGCUUACGGGACUCUGGACUCUGGUUCAACAAAAGAAUUCUUCAGAAGAUCUAAAAUAGCAGUAUAUGAAAAGAUGUGGGCAUACAUGAGCACAACAGACCCAUCCGUCUUCGCUAGGACCACAGCGGAGGGCGUUGCCCGUGUGCGCAAGUCCAAGGGCAAGUUUGCCUUCCUCCUGGAAUCCACCAUGAAUGAAUACAUUGAGCAGCGAAAGCCAUGUGACACCAUGAAAGUGGGAGGAAACCUGGACUCGAAAGGCUACGGAGUAGCCACACCAAAGGGUUCUUCAUUAAGAAAUGCUGUUAACCUGGCAGUUUUAAAACUGAAUGAACAAGGCCUCUUGGACAAAUUGAAAAACAAAUGGUGGUACGACAAAGGAGAGUGUGGCAGCGGGGGAGGUGACUCCAAGGUUAGCCUCAAUGUCACCAAAGCGGGUAAACAGAACUGUUGAGUUGAGUAAUUGGUGCGUCUGCUGAGGUUCCUCCUUCCAGCUCGCCAGACCCAACGGUGUCCUGUGGCACUUGCAAAUCAAUUGCCAACCAACAUCCAGAUGUAUGCAAUUACUGUCAAAGCAAAAAUAUUUGCAUCCUAAUCAGAUUUUCUUUUUGACCAAGGCCAACUGGUUCGUCUUGAAGUACAAAUUGGAGUUUUUCUUGCCAUUUUGGUAUUUUUUUUAAAAAAAAGUGAAUCAUUUGGGAAUAAUAUCCAUCUCCUAAGUAAAUUUUCUGAACCUCUACCAGAAGAUAGAAAAGUGCUGAUAAAUUAUAAUGUGGCAUGGUUAAAACACAAAUGAAUGGCAUGGUGGCCUAGAGGUGGAGUUCUCACCAUAGAUGGCCAUGAGUUCAAUCCUAGGGAGUGGCAGAUAUUUCUCUCUCUGGGCGCAAAGAGAAAAUAUCUGCUGUGAGCUCUGGGUAGGCAUCAGGAAGGGUAUCUGGCUAGUAAACACUCAGGUCCAUUCAGUCACCCUGACUUCACCUUGAUGCAAGGGAUUACAGGGUUGUUAAAUUUUUUAAAAAGCCCACAAAUAACUAGUUUUACCAUAAAGGGUUAUAGGUUUAAUCUCACCUCUAAUUCCUUAAAUGAAAUAAAUCCUUUUCAUCAUGUAUCUUUCAUCAUAUUUUUCCUGUCCUGGCAUAAUUCUUUGUUAGGACAGAUUUGCACAAUACUGACUUGAAAGUGGGCCUAUUGUAGUUUCUUCAAAAGAACCUGAGAAAGAUAAUCCUACUUUACAAUUCAGUUGUGUCAACAGAAGAGAAUAUCUGUAAUUCAAGGUUGAACUGUGCAGUUCUUGAUGGUCUCCGAGCUGAUUGUUUGCUUGCAGACAUUUCAUUGCGCAUCUAGUAAACACCAUCAGUGUUAAUGAGUGUGGGGUUUGUAGUCUGUUUAGAUAUAACACAUCCCUGUCCCUUGGCAGGACAAUCUACGAUAUAUAAACAGGCAAUAGAUAGCCCUCUCUUCACAAUGACAAUUGGGAUCAGGAUUUCUAUCACUAAAUAACACAGUCAUAAAGCAUGACAUAAUGUGACUGCAAUGGAAUGCAAUGGAAAUUCCAACACUUUUUAUUGCUGUCAUUAAGAGGAUCACUGCAGGAUGUUAAGCAAGGAUGUCAUAUGGUUGCCAUUUGCUAUUUUCUGCAAGUUUCCCCAUUGACUUUGCUUGUAGGAAACUGUCAAAAAAAGUCACAAAUGGCACCCACAUGACACAUGACAUGGAGAUGUUGUAAUCACAAGCUGGACGCUGAGCACUCAGAUCAUGGGGAUGUUAUGAUGCUGUAAGUACAAAGACCAGUUGUAAAUACCACUCUUUCUACACCAUUUUAAGUUUGAAUAGUCAGUGAACAAGUAAUUAUUAAACAAGGACUACCUAUAGAAACCCUGCAUUCACUCACUCUGAUGAUGUUAUCUAAUUAGAUAAUGAAACUUCUGCAAGCAAACAAGCCCAGAGAACACCAUAAACUCCACAAUUCAAGUUAUCCUCUGAAUGCUAUAGUCAACACAUACUGAAAAUUGUAUAAUUCAAUUUAUCAAGUCAAAGUGUUCUGUUGAGUACAAGAAAAAACAGUCAGAAAUGUUAGUUAUUAGCUGAUACUUCCUUUUGUAAUACAUACUUCAGAAAAUCUCAUGAAGUCAAUUACUUCAAAAAUGGAUAAGGCUAAUCUGUAGUAUGCCCUUAUCAUCCAGUUAACUUAAUGGCUGGUGGGUUUACUUUUAGAUGAUUUGCUGUGUUCAUAUAUCAUCAGAGGUAUCAGCAGCUGGCCACAAUGAUGCCAAAAUGAGAAACUGUAUGCUGUGAUAUAACAAUGCAGGCUCCACUCUUUACAUGUUUGCACAAUGCAAGUAUGGAAGGGAUAAAUUUUAUAUCACGCUAAUCACCUGUUAUCUGUCAAGGUUCCGAUAGACAAGACCAAACAAAUCAGAACUCCAAGGCUUGAGAUUUCCUCAAAGAACAUGUUUAUUGGUUACAUAGUAUCGGCACGGUCAAAAGUGAAAUCAAGUCUGAAAUCCACUUCAAAGAAAGACAAUAUUACAAAGUUGAACUUCCCACCCCAAUGCUAUGCAAUCAGCUACGUUCCCCAAUAGAACAGUUUGGCGGGCUUUCUAACCAAAUGCUCAUGCCCCCCCAUUUAAUUGACAAAAAUGACCUUGGUUCCCAUGGGACAGUAAAAUGUUUAGACUAGUAGAAAUCCUCCACACCCCUUUCCAUUCUUGUGGCAAACUAGAAUGAGCAAAAUAGCUCAAGCCAAGUUCAUUGUAGAGUUGACAUUAUCUUUGUUCUGAGAUUAUGCGUAAUAUGUUGAACCAGGUCAGGUGAAAACAGAUAUACAAUCUAUGACAUGCUAAUCUUGGUUAUUAAUUUUGGUUAGGUUAUGUGUGUGUGUGUGUGUGUGUGUGUGUGUUAUGUUAGUAUUUUUAAACUCAGACUAAUUGAUUCAUUGAAUGUUCGAUGUAUUAUAUAAACUCAGAAUAAGUUGAUUUGAUUUCCAGUUUCUUUUAAAAAUUAAUUUCUGUCCCUUUAAACAUUUUGAACAUCUAAAAUUGAAAAGUUAUGAUUCCCAACAUGAAUGUCACAUGAAGACACUUCUUGGUAUCUUCUCAACAGCUUUGUACAUUUAGAAUUCAGAUAUUCUUUAUUGUACUGAAUAACAGAUCUUUAAAUUAUCUUAUUACAGUUACUGAUAUUAGUGAUCAUUGAGUUCAGAAACAAAUCAUUACUCACUUUAAAAUAUUGUCCCUUGCUUAAGGCUAUAAGCUGUUUAAUUACUGAAAUAUCAAAUUCUAAAUAAGCUAUUAGCUUAAGAAAUUAAGAUAGUAACAUAGUUUGUCUGGAACAAACCAUCCCCCAUGUCCUAGCUUCUGCAAAACAUAACAAUUGAAGAAGAUUGUUGUUAUAAAUACAUACUGUGAGUCUAAGCACUUUUACUCUGUAGAUCCCAUGGAAUUCAAUAGAAUGUAUUUCUCAUAAAGUCUGUUUUGGUUUGCAGCCUAAAUUGUACAGCUGACAAUUUAUUGGUAGACUUCUUUUGAGGCUAUCCAUUUAUAUUAAAAAUGAAGGAAAACAGGAAAGUUCUCAAACUAUCUGGAGACUUUUUUGGGACGAUCCAUUAAGACAUAUUAAGGAGUAUUUAAGCCAAUAGUUUUGGGUUUACAGUAAUUGCAGACCACUUAUUUAAAACUUCACCCAGCAGGACGUGCCCAUUACUUGAAGCGAUGGAGCAGGUCCCAUUGGUAUAUCUGUCUCUAACCCUAGGCCUUCACUGUACAUGGUAUAACAGCCACUGUGGCCUGUGCUCCAUCACUUUGCCAUGCGAUUCUAUGUAGUUUUGCUUGAAUAACAUAAAAUAACAUAUAUAAUGUUAUUUAUGUUAUUUCCCACGUGAAGAACUCCUGUAAACCUUGCCGUUUUGAAACUCAGUGAGGCAGGCGUCUUAGACAAGCUGAAAAACAAAUGGUGGUACGAUAAAGGUGAAUGUGGACCGAAGGAUUCUGGAAGUAAGGACAAGACAAGUGCCCUGAGUCUCAGC
This is an RNA transcript of Crotalus tigris (Tiger rattlesnake), 6136 nucleotides long. It is a transcript of the gene named glutamate ionotropic receptor AMPA type subunit 4, with no coding region annotated. Lineage: Eukaryota; Metazoa; Chordata; Lepidosauria; Squamata; Viperidae. The record is from RefSeq and is a predicted model, not a curated record. The transcript is spliced from 15 exons.